This is a long non-coding RNA of Galeopterus variegatus (Sunda flying lemur), 834 nucleotides long. RefSeq lists it as uncharacterized. NCBI's taxonomy places the organism in Eukaryota, Metazoa, Chordata, Mammalia, Dermoptera, Cynocephalidae. The transcript has 4 exons. The record is from RefSeq and is a predicted model, not a curated record.
GUGAGCCCAGCCACUCACCUUCCAGGAAGCGUGGAUUCCUGGAAGUGAGGGGAACCGCCGUCAUUUCGCAGGCAGCGGCAGCGGCACGCCAUUGAUUUGAAUCGAUUAAUAGCCCUGGUGGGCGAGAAAUGCGGCAACCCGAGCAAUGGAAGGUGACGAGGACUCCUAAGGUUGGGCUGAGACGCUCCUGCCCCGCUCCUACAUCCGGGGGUCGGGGGGCGGAGACGCAGUUCCCUGGAGGAGGCUUCGGGAUCCAGCCCAGUUUCUCCCGGCGAUGAAGAAACUGAGGCAAAGAGCACUGAGUAACUUGAUCAGGGCUACAGCUGGUCAAUGAAUAUUACUUCAAAGGAUUCACAAAUACCACUCCUCCCUCCAGUUUCAUGAAUGGGCCCAGAGAUCCACAGACCACAUCCCCCACACAUAUAUACAUUUUGUUAAGAGGGCCUAAAAAAGUUAAAAUGGGAUCAGAUUUGAUGAGCUAUCUAAGUGGCCUGUGAAUAGGGGUGAUUAAAUGCAAUAAAUGGCCUAUUUUCCAAAUGGCAUUAUUUCAGUGUUCAGAAAAAGAUUAAAGUGAAUAAGGAGGUACCAAGAUGAAGGGGAGGGUAUGUUUCUGAUUCAAUGAAACACUACUGGGGGCCCCUUCUUCCAAAUUCCUAGUAUCAGACAAAAAAAUGAAGCAACACUCGAAUCCACUUUUUUUUUCUCCUUUUUUACUUACAUUAAAUACAUCAGUAAAUCAGCAGUCGCAUUCUGUUACCACGAUUGUUAUGUUGGAAAGGGAGGAAAGGGAAAGAAAGGCAAAUGCUUUCUUAGAAGCAAAGAAAAAAAAAGACA